This 75-nucleotide transfer RNA is filed under the name Pedosphaera sp. RNAcentral describes it as "tRNA-Asn". It matches the Rfam family "tRNA". From Rfam's summary of the family: Transfer RNA (tRNA) molecules are approximately 80 nucleotides in length. Their secondary structure includes four short double-helical elements and three loops (D, anti-codon, and T loops). Further hydrogen bonds mediate the characteristic L-shaped molecular structure. tRNAs have two regions of fundamental functional importance: the anti-codon, which is responsible for specific mRNA codon recognition, and the 3' end, to which the tRNAs corresponding amino acid is attached (by aminoacyl-tRNA synthetases). tRNAs cope with the degeneracy of the genetic code in two manners: having more than one tRNA (with a specific anti-codon) for a particular amino acid; and 'wobble' base-pairing, i.e. permitting non-standard base-pairing at the 3rd anti-codon position. Lineage: Bacteria; Pseudomonadati; Verrucomicrobiota; Pedosphaerae; Pedosphaerales; Pedosphaeraceae. The record is from RNAcentral.
UCCAAAGUAGCUCAAUGGUAGAGCAGCGCACUGUUAAUGCGCAUGUUGAAGGUUCGAGUCCUUCCUUUGGAGCCA